CAGUAGCCACGGGAAUACGAAGGGGGCUAGCGCUGCUCGGAAUGACUGGGCGUAAAGGGCGCGUAGGCGGUCACGAUAGUCAGAUGUGAAAUUCCUGGGCUUAACCUGGGGACUGCAUUCGAUACUGUGUGGCUUGAGUGUGGAAGAGGGUCGUGGAAUUCCCAGUGUAGAGGUGAAAUUCGUAGAUAUUGGGAAGAACACCGGUGGCGAAGGCGGCGACCUGGUCCAUAACUGGCGCUGAGGCGCGAAAGCGUGGGGAGCAAACAGGAUUAGAUACCCCAGUAGUCCCUGUCUCUAUACA
RNAcentral lists this ribosomal RNA (301 nucleotides) under uncultured bacterium. Its description in RNAcentral is "partial 16S ribosomal RNA". It matches the Rfam family "Bacterial small subunit ribosomal RNA", at positions 509 to 808 of the family's 1533-position model. The record is from RNAcentral.